GGUCUCGUGGUCUAGUGGUAUGAUUCUCGCUUAGGGCUACACCCUGAGUUCAAUAUGCGAGAGGCCCCGGAUUCGAAUUCCGGCGAGACCC
Non-coding RNA from Zalaria obscura, 91 nucleotides. The record is from the annotation of a GenBank genome assembly. NCBI's taxonomy places the organism in Eukaryota, Fungi, Ascomycota, Dothideomycetes, Dothideales, Zalariaceae.